UUUGAUUUUUAGAGAAAUGAGAGAUGGAUAUCAAGAGAGAUCCCAAUCGGUAAGUUAAUUUCUCUACUAUGGUAAAAACCUAUUCAAUGGUUUAAUCUUGAUCAACCCUUUUAGCUUGAUUUUUAGAGAAAUGCGAGAUGGAUAUCAAGAGAGAGGGAGAUAUCUACUAUGGUAAAAACCUACUCAAUGGCUUUAGAGAGAUGAUAGAUGGAUAUCAAGACAAAAACCUACUCAAGGGCUUUAGAGAGAUGAUAGAUGGAUAUCAAGACAAAAACCUACUCAAUGGCUUUAGAGAGAUGAGGGAUGUAUAUCAAGAGAGAGGGGGAGAUCUAGCAUGAGGAUUCCACCCCUUGUAUGGAGAGAGAAUUCUUAAAGAGAGAGAAGAUAAUACGUAUGGAGUUUUAUGAGGUCAAAAAUUUCAUUUUAUAGAUUUUCUUUGCCAUAUGUUUUGUAUCAAUUUGUAUCUCAACCGUCGAUCUAGUGGGACUUAUGAGGUGAGAUAUUUUAGCCAUCUAUCUUGUUUCACCAUUAAGAUUCAAAAAGAUGAGCUAGAGCCUUAUCCUCCAUUUUUUAAAUCUAUUCCCAUCAAAUAAGAAAAAUUUAUAUUUUAAUAUAUCAAAUCCUUAAUUAUUAGAUCAACAAAUCUUAAAGUUUAUAUUUUAAUAUAUCAAAUCUUUAAUUAUUUGAUGAACAAAUCUUGAUACAAAGAUUUAGUAAAUAUUUAAAAUAAUCAACCUUAUCACAUAAGUUAUAAUAAAUAUCUCAAAUAUUCAAGUGUGCCAAGAUAUGGUACCAUCCCCAUAAAGAAAUAGAUAACCCGAAGUGGAUCUCGAGUCAUCUGGUUCUCCUUGAUAGUCAGAGUCUGUGCAUCGCAAAACUUUAUGCUCACUCACAUUGCCAUAGGUUAAUCCAUAAUCAAAUGUUCCUUUCAAAUACCUCAUGAUUCUUUUCACACCUUUCCAAUGUUCUAAUCCAAUAUCACUUUGAAAUCGACCAAUCAAGCAUUGAGCAAAAGCUAGAUCGGGUCUAGUUCACAUGGUUAAAUACAUUAGUGAUCCUACGACACCUCGAUAUGGGAUCAUUUCCAUCUCAUUUCUCUCAAGAUCAUUGUUUGGUUUCAUAUUGACAUUUAAUUUUCCUCCUUCCACAGGUGUAUCUAUAGGCUUGGAUUCACUCAUACCAAAUCUCUUAAGAACUUUAUUGCAAUAUGUAGAUUGAGAUAAUUAAAUAGUGUGGGCUGCUCUAUCUCUUAUAAUAUGAAUCCCUAACACAUACGAAGCCUCUCUCAUAUCUUUCAUAUCAAAGUUACUUGAUAGCAUUGCCUUUGUAUCCCUUAUAUGGUUUAGGGUGCUACUAGCUAUUAGAAUGUCAUCCACAUAUAAAGUCAUGAAAGUAAUGCCAGUCCCACUGGUCUUAUGGUAUAUACAAUGGUCAUCCUCAUUUGGUUUGAAUCUAUAUCUAAUCAGGGUUUGGUGGAACUUGAGGAACUGUCUUCUUGAAGCUUGUUUGAGACAUAAAGUGAUUUGUUUUUGUUAAGUUUGUACACGAACCUUUACUUUCCUUUCACAAUAAAACCCUCUAGUUGGUUCAUGUAUAUAUCCUCGUUUAGGUCACUAUUUAAUAAGGCGAUUUCCACAUCCAUCAAAUACUUUAGUCUCAGUGUGUCACUAAAUUUCCAGAAGUUUUUCAUCAUGUUUUUAUUUUGGGGGUUCAUAAUCUUUUCAUACAAGACUGUUUUGGUGGUCCGAGGGACCACCGUGUGUAGUUUGGUCAUAACUCUCUUGUUCUUUAUCCGAUUUGAUUCAAAUCUUUUGCAUUAUGUUUGGGAUGAUAAUGCCAGUACGUUGAUAUCUUAAGAAGUGAUUUUAAGGUGUGUAAUGUCUUCCCAUUUGUAUUAGACACUCUUGUGAUAUUGAACCACUUUUGUACAAUCCGAAAGGACAAAAUUAAGUUCUUAUAAGGCCCGAUUGCAUAGCCCUGGCACAAGGGGUUCAAAACAUUGCUUCUUGAUUUUAAUUUGGCAUUCUAAUUCCCUGUUUAGUUGAUUUUAUUCCUUAUAAUUUUGUUUAGACUAAUUGUAUGUUGUAUUUAAGCUUUGGGACAUAGUUUAUGUAAUUUAUGCUAUGAAAAUGUAAUUUAUAAGCUAGUUUUGCUUUAUAUGUAAUUGCCCAAUAAGGGGUUGGUAUUUGAGUUUAUUUAGAGUGGUUUUACAAAGCUAGAAACAUAUAAUUGUUAUUUAAAGGAUUCUAACUUGUUCACUUAGCUUGGUUUUAAGCAAGUAGCUUGUUUUGCCUUGUUUUUCGGCUUUGAAAUUUGCUAUCGUUUUUGUAUCUACUAGAAAUUAAAAAAAUAAGGCAAUUAAGGGGAUAAACAUUCUUUCCAAGGUGGGGCGUGCCACCUUUUUGGUGGUCACAUGUGGGCCCCACCUAAUCCACAUGGUUUUAAAUUUUUGGGCCCCAUAUUUUAUGGAGUUCCCAUAUUUUUAGAAAAUAUUUUAUUUCAUAUUUAGAAUUUUAAAAUUUAUUUAAAACAUUAGAAAAUUAAUUUUUCUUAAUUUAUAAAUCUAAAUGACGAAAAUAAAAUAUCAAAAAAUUCACAAAAAAUCAAAUAAACAUUAUAAAAAUCACUUAACAUAAAAUUAAUUAAUUUUGAUAGGAAUCAGAUCCGUUAGAUCUAGGAAAUUAUCAAUACAUAGGAGCACUACACAUUCUACUGCGAAUCACGAUCCGUCUAGCUUUCUCAAAUUGACCCAACAGUUCCAUGACCUACAGUCCACUGCAGAGGCUCAUCAUUGGACCACUAAAGUCAGCCAAUAGACUAGAGGAUGCAAUCCCGAUUUAUGGAUUUCAGGUUCUCCCCUAGAGAUAAAAUCAUGGUCUUCCAGACCAUGAUGCAACCAUGACUCUAUGAUGCAUAGGGGUAAUCUCUCGUACAUGUACACGCUUCACCCUCAUAGGCGAAUCUCAAAUGAUUAUCUAUGUACAUGUCAUGUGAUGAUAUAACGAUGAGGUUUUAGCCUUGUCUCUAAAGGCUAUUCAUCACACGUAAGGGCCACACGGCCCCUCAGCUCUCAUAACCCACUAAACUCUUCCAUAUGCCUAGGUAUCUUGGGUUUUUCCAAACUUCGGUUAACCUAGCUCGUCGAGCCUAGUUCGAGUAUUAGCAAAUAACAUUUGCCUAGUAUGGUCCACAAAAGGAUCACACUCCCACUAAGUUUAUGUUUUAUUUAUUAAAUAUGUUUUAUACAGUGUCUUAUAAGGCCAACAUUCAUGCCUAUCGUAUGGUACACCAAAACGCACUCCUUCACCGACUGUUUAUCAUUGAUGGUGGAGAUGAUCAAAACCUCUACUUUUUGUGUGCUAGUUGCAGCCACCUUAAAAGUCGUAUUUGUUUGUAGCAUUAUAGAAGGGGGCAGUCAUCUUUUUCCUUGAUAAUUCAUUCAUAAGUAUUGCACAAGGUUUCAAAAAAGGCUAGGCGGCUAGCCUGGCGCCCAAAACCUCAAAUGCCCUGUAGUACAAAUUCUUUACAUGUAUAUAUAUAUAUAUAUAUAUAUAUAUAUAUAUA
RNAcentral lists this long non-coding RNA (3564 nucleotides) under Amborella trichopoda. RNAcentral's name for it is "long non-coding RNA (ATRI_LNC005148)". The record is from RNAcentral. Lineage: Eukaryota; Viridiplantae; Streptophyta; Magnoliopsida; Amborellales; Amborellaceae.